Molecule: ribosomal RNA, 347 nt
Filed under: uncultured bacterium
Lineage: Bacteria
Description: bacterial SSU rRNA
Rfam family: Bacterial small subunit ribosomal RNA
Source: RNAcentral
AAAGUGAGGAAUAAGCCACCGAAAGGUGGUCUAAUACUUCAUAAUAUCCAUCUCGUAUGGAUUAAAGCUUUAUGCGCUUUGGGAGGGGCCUGCGUAACAUUAGCUUGUCGGUGAGGUAAAAGCUCACCAAGGCUUCGAUGUUUAACUGGUUUGAGAGGAUGACCAGUCACACUGGGACUGAGAUACGGCCCAGACUCCUACGGGGGGCAGCAGUAAGGAAUCUUCCACAAUGGGGCAACCCUGAUGGAGCAAUACCGCGUGCAGGAUGAAGCGUUUCGGCGUGUAAACUGCUUUUAUCACCGAAGAUUAUGACUGUAGGUGAAGAAUAAGGACCGGCUAACUACGUG